UCUGGCUCAGGAUGAACGCUGGCGGCGUGCCUAAUACAUGCAAGUCGUACGGAGCACUCAGCUUGCUGGAGAGCUCAGUGGCGAACGGGUGAGUAAUACGUAAGUAACCUGCCUGCAAGGACUGGGAUAACACCUGGAAACGGGCGCUAAUACCGGAUAGGUAACAGAGGGGCAUCCCACUGUUAUUAAAGGUUAAAAACACAAGCAGAUGGGCUUACGGUGCAUUAGCUGGUUGGUGAGGUAACGGCCCACCAAGGCGAUGAUGCAUAGCCGGCCUGAGAGGGUGAACGGCCACAUUGGGACUGAGACACGGCCCAGACUCCUACGGGAGGCAGCAGUAGGGAAUUUUCGGCAAUGGGCGCAAGCCUGACCGAGCAACGCCGCGUGAGUGAAGAAGAAUUUCGGUUCGUAAAGCUCUGUUGUAAGGGAAGAAUAACACGGAGAGAAUCCGUGCAUGACGGUACCUUACCAGAAAGCCACGGCUAACUACGUGCCAGCAGCUGC
Molecule: ribosomal RNA, 504 nt
Filed under: uncultured bacterium
Lineage: Bacteria
Description: bacterial SSU rRNA
Rfam family: Bacterial small subunit ribosomal RNA
Source: RNAcentral